Vitis vinifera (wine grape) is the source of this 548-nucleotide long non-coding RNA. RefSeq lists it as uncharacterized. The transcript is spliced from 2 exons. The record is from RefSeq and is a predicted model, not a curated record. NCBI's taxonomy places the organism in Eukaryota, Viridiplantae, Streptophyta, Magnoliopsida, Vitales, Vitaceae.
AUGCAUUUUAAUGUUAUUUUCUUAUUUGAUUUCAGUUUGGUAAUAAAAAAAAACAUAUUCUCAAGUAGAAUUCGAUGAAAUUAGAGGAGAAUGGGCUACUUUUGUGCUACAAUUAAUCAUGAAUCAUGUUGAUGCAUCAUGAUCACCAUGCAUGGUGAGUCCCUUAGCUACUACAUGAAUUUUUCCAUAGGUAUACACUCUUGGGAUGGUGAAAUGGAGAAUAAAAAGAAAGAAGAAGACAACAAGAUUUUGGGUUUUUAAAUGCAACUCUUAUGUCAUACGUUGUAGGACAUAAACGUUACUUUAAUUGCAACUGAGAAAUUUAGAUUUUUAGAUGGGACUUCUAUGUCAUUUUAUGGUUAGCCGGUUUUAUGAUUAUGAAAUGGAGGUAUACAUGAAUCUUGGGAUCUUUAACAUUUCUAAAUCAUGUUUUGGUAUGUAUUCACUCUUCUUUUUUAGUUUUGAUGGGUUUGAUAUGUUGGACGUACUAUCCUUUUGUGAACAUUUGAUAUACAAAUAUUAUUAGAUGAUCAAUGUAUUAUGAGUUA